Molecule: ribosomal RNA, 274 nt
Filed under: uncultured bacterium
Lineage: Bacteria
Description: partial 16S ribosomal RNA
Rfam family: Archaeal small subunit ribosomal RNA
Source: RNAcentral
AAACCAGCACCUCAAGUGGUCAGGAUGAUUAUUGGGCCUAAAGCAUCCGUAGCCGGCUCUGUAAGUUUUCGGUUAAAUCUGUACGCUCAACGUACAGGCUGCCGGGAAUACUGCAGAGCUAGGGAGUGGGAGAGGUAGACGGUACUCGGGAGGAAGGGGUAAAAUCCUUUGAUCUCUCGAUGACCACCUGUGGCGAAGGCGGUCUACCAGAACACGUUCGACGGUGAGGGAUGAAAGCUGGGGGAGCAAACCGGAUUAGAUACCCGGGUAGUCC